Molecule: non-coding RNA, 1244 nt
Organism: Nicotiana tabacum (common tobacco)
Lineage: Eukaryota; Viridiplantae; Streptophyta; Magnoliopsida; Solanales; Solanaceae
Source: RefSeq, a predicted model, not a curated record
GUUUAUUUGUUACUCAAACUAUUAAUUUAACUCUCUUCAGUAUGUUGCGUACCCACAUGAUAUCUGCUCUAUGAAAAUUCUCAAAAACUAUGUAUCUAUAUCCAGAAGGUUGAUGCUUCUAUUGAGAUCUAUGAACAGAUAAGACUAUAAGAUGCAUCUUGCUUGAUAUAAUACAGUUAAAUACCAAUAGAAAAUAUUAGUAGGUGUUAAAUAUUAAAUUCACAUUUUCAAAUUAGCUCUAUGCAAAAAUUUAUCCCCCAAAAGGAAAAAAAAGAGUAGCUCUAUGUAAAACUUUAUGAGGUGCCUCCUACUCAAAAAAAAUACUUUUCUCCCAGCAAGUCUCUAAGUCUUACUUGUAUGAGCAUUGUUAAGUGAGGGCAAAAUGGGAAAGUAACAAAUGGGAAUAGUACAUCGCAGCUAUAUAUAUACCUGUUAUGUUAAAGUUUUUCUUCUAAACCUCCUUGUUAUGUAAGCUCCAAUUUAGAUAAUUUUUCUCUCCUAUAUUCAGCAGUUUUCGACCUGGUAAUAAUAAUGUCACUAUGACACUUCAAGAAAGAAGGUAGAUAUUUUUUUUGGAUAAGGUAAGGUAGAAGAAAGGAGGUGGAUAUUGGCUUCGGAAAACUUGUCCAUAUUAUCCCAAUUUACGGAGGAGCAAAUGAGUAGAUAUGAAUCUUUUCGGAGAUCUGGAUUUCAGAAAUCCAACAUGAAGCGGUUGCUGACGAGCAUCACCGGAAGUGCCAAGAUAUCUAUUCCUAUGACAAUUGUGGUUUCUGGGAUAGCGAAAAUGUUUGUUGGUGAGCUAAUUGAAACAGGUCCAUAGACAUCUAUAACUUUUUAUAAGAUGAUUACUGAAGCAAAAUGUUUCAUGAUUUGGAAACAACAAGGGGUGUUGUUUCUGGCAUGAUUUUAUUUUCUCCCCUAAACUUUAUUUAGUUUCUUUUCUUUGAGCCUAGUGCACAACUUCAAAUAUUUGGUCAAACUCUGUCAUUGGUGUCUGAUCAAUUUGCGACAAUCAUGAUUCAAAGCCUUAGAGCCCAUAUUGUCAUAUAAUGUCCAUGACUAAGCGUGUUGGUGGUUAAAAUUUAUUUGGAAACUUACCCCUAUAAAGUACUAAAGAGUGGCAUAAAAUGUCUUAGGGAUUCAUCAAACAAUACAAUACAAUACGAUGCAUUAUUAUGAAACGACAUGUAACAACCAUUCAAACAAGCUGUUAAUAUAGGCAAUGCCAGUUAGCCCGUACUAUU